AGUAGGGCGGGACACGUGAAAUCCUGUCUGAAGAUGGGGGGACCAUCCUCCAAGGCUAAAUACUCGUGAUCGACCGAUAGUGAACCAGUACCGUGAGGGAAAGGCGAAAAGAACCCCGGGAGGGGAGUGAAAUAGAUCCUGAAACCGCAUGCAUACAAACAGUCGGAGCCUCGUAAGGGGUGACGGCGUACCUUUUGUAUAAUGGGUCAGCGACUUACGUUCAGUAGCAAGCUUAACCGUAUAGGGCAGGCGUAGCGAAAGCGAGUCCGAAUAGGGCGUUCAGUUGCUGGGCGUAGACCCGAAACCAGGUGAUCUAUCCAUGGCCAGGAUGAAGGUGCGGUAACACGUACUGGAGGUCCGAACCCACUAACGUUGAAAAGUUAGGGGAUGAGCUGUGGAUAGGGGUGAAAGGCUAAACAAACCUGGAAAUAGCUGGUUCUCUCCGAAAACUAUUUAGGUAGUGCCUCGUGUCUCACCUUCGGGGGUAGAGCACUGUCAUGGUUGGGGGGUCUAUUGCAGAUUACCCCGCCAUAGCAAACUCCGAAUACCGAAGAGUGCAAUCACGGGAGACAGACAUCGGGUGCUAACGUCCGGUGUCAAGAGGGAAACAACCCAGACCGCCAGCUAAGGUCCCCAAAUAUGGCUAAGUGGGAAACGAAGUGGGAAGGCUAAAACAGUCAGGAGGUUGGCUUAGAAGCAGCCACCCUUUAAAGAAAGCGUAAUAGCUCACUGAUCGAGUCGUCCUGCGCGGAAGAUGUAACGGGGCUAAGCCAUAUACCGAAGCUGCGGAUGCGUGCUUGCACGCAUGGUAGGAGAGCGUUCCGUAAGCCUGCGAAGGUGCCUUGUAAAGGGUGCUGGAGGUAUCGGAAGUGCGAAUGCUGACAUGAGUAGCGAUAAAGGGGGUGAAAGGCCCCCUCGCCGUAAGCCCAAGGUUUCCUACGCAACGUUCAUCGGCGUAGGGUGAGUCGGCCCCUAAGGCGAGGCAGAAAUGCGUAGCUGAUGGGAAGCAGGUCAAUAUUCCUGCACCAUUGUUAGAUGCGAUGGGGGGACGGAUCGCGGAAGGUUGUCCGGGUGUUGGACGUCCCGGUCGCUGCAUUGGAGAAGGCGCUUAGGCAAAUCCGGGCGCAGGAUUCAAGGGUGUGGCGCGAGCGACUUCGGUCGCGAAGCAAUUGGAAGUGGUUCCAAGAAAAGCCUCUAAGCUUCAGUCUAACGAUGACCGUACCGCAAACCGACACAGGUGGGCGAGAUGAGUAUUCUAAGGCGCUUGAGAGAACUCGGGAGAAGGAACUCGGCAAAUUGGUACCGUAACUUCGGGAUAAGGUACGCCCUUGUAGCUUGACUGGCCUGCGCCAGGAGGGUGAAGGGGUUGCAAUAAACUGGUGGCUGCGACUGUUUAAUAAAAACACAGCACUCUGCAAACACGAAAGUGGACGUAUAGGGUGUGACGCCUGCCCGGUGCCGGAAGAUUAAAUGAUGGGGUGCAAGCUCUUGAUUGAAGUCCCGGUAAACGGCGGCCGUAACUAUAACGGUCCUAAGGUAGCGAAAUUCCUUGUCGGGUAAGUUCCGACCUGCACGAAUGGCGUAACGAUGGCCACACUGUCUCCUCCCGAGACUCAGCGAAGUUGAAGUGUUUGUGAUGAUGCAAUCUACCCGCGGCUAGACGGAAAGACCCCAUGAACCUUUACUGUAGCUUUGCAUUGGACUUUGAACCGAUCUGUGUAGGAUAGGUGGGAGGCUAUGAAACCGGAACGCUAGUUUCGGUGGAGCCGUCCUUGAAAUACCACCCUGGUUUGUUUGAGGUUCUAACCUUGGUCCGUGAUCCGGAUCGGGGACAGUGCAUGGUAGGCAGUUUGACUGGGGCGGUCUCCUCCCAAAGGGUAACGGAGGAGUACGAAGGUACGCUAGGUACGGUCGGAAAUCGUGCUGAUAGUGCAAUGGCAUAAGCGUGCUUAACUGCGAGACCGACAAGUCGAGCAGGUGCGAAAGCAGGUCAUAGUGAUCCGGUGGUUCUGUAUGGAAGGGCCAUCGCUCAACGGAUAAAAGGUACUCUGGGGAUAACAGGCUGAUACCGCCCAAGAGUUCAUAUCGACGGCGGUGUUUGGCACCUCGAUGUCGGCUCAUCUCAUCCUGGGGCUGUAGCCGGUCCCAAGGGUAUGGCUGUUCGCCAUUUAAAGAGGUACGUGAGCUGGGUUUAAAACGUCGUGAGACAGUUUGGUCCCUAUCUGCCGUGGGCGUUGGAUAUUUGAAGGGGGCUGCUCCUAGUACGAGAGGACCGGAGUGGACGAACCUCUGGUGUACCGGUUGUGACGCCAGUCGCAUCGCCGGGUAGCUAUGUUCGGAAGAGAUAACCGCUGAAAGCAUCUAAGCGGGAAACUCGCCUUAAGAUGAGAUAUCCCUGGAGGCUUGACCUCCUUGAAGGGUCGUUCGAGACCAGGACGUUGAUAGGUCGGGUGUGUAAGCGCAGUAAUGCGUUCAGCUAACCGAUACUAAUUGCCCGUAAGGCUUGAUCCUAUAAC
RNAcentral lists this ribosomal RNA (2516 nucleotides) under Burkholderia multivorans ATCC 17616. Its description in RNAcentral is "bacterial LSU rRNA". It matches the Rfam family "Bacterial large subunit ribosomal RNA", at positions 411 to 2925 of the family's 2925-position model. The record is from RNAcentral. Lineage: Bacteria; Pseudomonadati; Pseudomonadota; Betaproteobacteria; Burkholderiales; Burkholderiaceae.